GGGUGAUUAGCUCAGUUGGGAGAGCAUCGCCCUUACAAGGCGAGGGUCACUGGUUCAAGUCCAGU
RNAcentral lists this transfer RNA (65 nucleotides) under Pseudoalteromonas sp. JW3. RNAcentral describes it as "tRNA-Val". It matches the Rfam family "tRNA", at positions 1 to 63 of the family's 71-position model. From Rfam's summary of the family: Transfer RNA (tRNA) molecules are approximately 80 nucleotides in length. Their secondary structure includes four short double-helical elements and three loops (D, anti-codon, and T loops). The record is from RNAcentral. Lineage: Bacteria; Pseudomonadati; Pseudomonadota; Gammaproteobacteria; Alteromonadales; Pseudoalteromonadaceae.